Molecule: long non-coding RNA, 466 nt
Filed under: Gossypium barbadense (sea-island cotton)
Lineage: Eukaryota; Viridiplantae; Streptophyta; Magnoliopsida; Malvales; Malvaceae
Description: long non-coding RNA (GBAR_LNC001217)
Source: RNAcentral
CUUGAUCAGUCAGAAAUGAAAACAAAGGACUAUGAAUGCUCAUGUCCUGUUUGGAUUUGUAUGCUUUUUGAGAUUUUUGUUGAAUAGAAACACUCUGAUAUUCUUUCAUGGCUACUGCAAUGUUGAAGUGCAUAUAAUGAGCUCUAGAAUGUCAUGCAUAGUCCUGGUGCUGUUAAUUUGGUACUGUUAAUUUUGAAUGCUUUGAAAUGUUUGAAAUGGCUUUGUUAAUUUGGUACUGUUAAUACUUUGAAAUGUUUCAAAUGGUGCUGUUACUACUUCAACUUUGAAUGCUUUGAAAUGUUUGCUCACUGAUAAAUGUUUGAAAUGGUGCUGUUAAUUUGGUACUGUUAACUUUGAAUGCUUUGAAAUGUUUGAAAUGAGUUAACACCCAAGUACAUUUACUGCUAAUUUAAUCUCCAAGUUGGUGUGGAAUUAUGAAACUAAGAGAGUAUUUUCCUAUAUGUUG